CAAAUAUGGAUCACGCUGUUUAAUGUUUGUAAAGACUACAAGGAGCUGGCCUGAAGCAGAGCGGUACUGUGUGUCCCUUGGUGAUCAACUGGUGUCUGUACCCAACGUUGUGAACUACCUUGGCGCAAACCUGGCAUCUGUGCACAGCUCCGAGGAGGACCAGUUUCUACAGGAGUUGGUCUUGGUCAAGACUGUUGGUUUCCCUCCUACCUGGAUUGGUGGAUUUUAUUCUGUUAAGGACAGGCGGUGGUUCUGGAGUGAUGGCUCCGACUUUG
Molecule: long non-coding RNA, 275 nt
Organism: Oncorhynchus masou masou (cherry salmon)
Lineage: Eukaryota; Metazoa; Chordata; Actinopteri; Salmoniformes; Salmonidae
Exons: 3
Source: RefSeq, a predicted model, not a curated record